Homo sapiens (human) is the source of this 148-nucleotide non-coding RNA. It matches the Rfam family "Metazoan signal recognition particle RNA". From Rfam's summary of the family: The signal recognition particle (SRP) is a universally conserved ribonucleoprotein. It is involved in the co-translational targeting of proteins to membranes. NCBI's taxonomy places the organism in Eukaryota, Metazoa, Chordata, Mammalia, Primates, Hominidae. The record is from Rfam.
GCUGGGUGUGGUGGUGGGCACCUGUAAUCCCAGCUACUCGGGAGGCUGAGGCAGGAGGAUUACUUGAACCCAGGAGGGGGGGGUUGCAGUGAGCCGAGAUCGCACCACCGCUCUCCAGCCUGGGUGACAGAGUGAGACUCUGUCUCAA